RNAcentral lists this transfer RNA (71 nucleotides) under Candidatus Tremblayella princeps. RNAcentral describes it as "Candidatus Tremblaya princeps tRNA-Asn(GTT)". The record is from RNAcentral. Lineage: Bacteria; Pseudomonadati; Pseudomonadota; Betaproteobacteria.
CCUCGAUAGCUCAACGGCAGAACGGCGGACUGUUAAUCCGCUGGACAUGGGUUCAGUACCCAGGUCGAGCA